This 204-nucleotide long non-coding RNA is filed under the name Elaeis guineensis (African oil palm). RNAcentral's name for it is "long non-coding RNA (EGUI_LNC014585)". The record is from RNAcentral. Lineage: Eukaryota; Viridiplantae; Streptophyta; Magnoliopsida; Arecales; Arecaceae.
AAUUAGAGAAUUGACUAAAUCUAAUCAAUUGUUGUCUUAGAUUAGGUCAUGGAUUCUCUAGAUCAAUUACAAUAGUUGUAGUUGGUCAAGUCCAUGCCUUUAACGAGAACCAAAUGGACUUGAUUUUUGGCUAAGCGGUCUAGCACGAACUGUUAGGUUGAUCCAAUCGAAACUAGUUAAACCAGUUGGUGUCUAAGGUAAACC